GUCGGAGGUGUUCGGAAAGUUGCUCGACACUCACGGCCUUGUCGGGGCUGGGUGUGCCUUCCCCUGGGUCGAUCUUGUUCUAAAACAUUGUUAAAAAAAGGGGAUAAAACUUAGUAUAUCGUAACCACACAACAUCCAAGAUGAAUUGAGGUAACCCGGGGCUUACCUAACCGGAGAAGGAUCAAGAGAAUUGGCCAGAGAGUUCCUGGGUUCCACUGUCCUAGCUGCACCGAGAGAAAGAGAGAGAAAGACGAGGUUUAGAUGGUGAUGAUGAUGCCGUUGACGGAGUACUACGAAGGGUGUGCGGUGACUGGGUGUGUGUGUGUGUUCG
RNAcentral lists this long non-coding RNA (331 nucleotides) under Malus domestica (apple). RNAcentral describes it as "long non-coding RNA (MDOM_LNC008247)". Lineage: Eukaryota; Viridiplantae; Streptophyta; Magnoliopsida; Rosales; Rosaceae. The record is from RNAcentral.